RNAcentral lists this unclassified non-coding RNA (389 nucleotides) under soil metagenome. Its description in RNAcentral is "partial contains 5.8S ribosomal RNA, internal transcribed spacer 2, and large subunit ribosomal RNA". The stretch from base 1 to 121 matches the Rfam family "5.8S ribosomal RNA", at positions 36 to 154 of the family's 154-position model. The record is from RNAcentral.
AUGAAGAACGCAGCGAAAUGCGAUACUUGGUGUGAAUUGCAGAAUCCCGUGAACCAUCGAGUCUUUGAACGCAAGUUGCGCCCGAAGCCAUUAGGCCGAGGGCACGCCUGCCUGGGCGUCACACGUCGUUGCCCCCCCAUCUACUCCUUCGGGAUUGCGGGGGGCGGAUGAUGGCCUCCCGUGCGCCUCGCCGCGCGGUUGGCAUAAAUGCCAAGUCCUCGGCGACGCACGCCACGACAAUCGGUGGUUGCGAAACCUCGGUUGCCCGUCGUGUGCGGUCGUCGCGCAUCGAGGGCUCGAAAAAAUUGCCGGGUUCCGGCUCGGCUUUCAACGCGACCCCAGGUCAGGCGGGGUUACCCGCUGAAUUUAAGCAUAUCAAUAGCGGAGGA